Molecule: ribosomal RNA, 119 nt
Filed under: Lipingzhangella halophila
Lineage: Bacteria; Bacillati; Actinomycetota; Actinomycetes; Streptosporangiales; Nocardiopsidaceae
Source: RNAcentral
CGUGGUGGCCAUAGCGUGGGGGAAACACCCGGACCCGUUCCGAACCCGGUCGUUAAGCCCCACAGCGCCGAUGGUACUGCCCCCAUGGUGUGGGGUGGGAGAGUAGGACACCGCCACGA